CUAGACAUAGCAGGAACGUAAAUCUACGCCCAACCUGACAAUGCCAUUCUCAAGUUUUAAUUCCCUAAUUACUUUAGAGUAAGUAAGAUAAUGUUUAUGAAAAAACAAAAGAUGUAGAUCUUUGAAACACACUCAGUGAUCAAAAGAUCCACAGGUACUGGUUUGGACGACCACUCGUACGAAAACAAACAAAUGAAAUAGAGAAUGCGGAAAAAUCCCCUUACGAACAAUUCACACAUCCACUACUUCGGGCUGGGAAAUAUUUUUUGAAUAGAAUCGAAGAUCCAAACACCAGCUCUUAGAAAUGUGUUUCGCCCUCUUCAACCUCUAUGGGCUCAUCGGUGAAGAUGAGAGGUUGAAUAUCUUCAGACACAUUCCAAUCAAAAAACAACAUUCGAGACCUAGACAUAGCAGGAACGUAAAUCUACGCCCAACCUGACAAUGCCAUUCUCAAGUUUUAAUUCCCUAAUUACUUUAGAGUAAGUAAGAUAAUGUUUAUGAAAAAACAAAAGAUGUAGAUCUUUGAAACACACUCAGUGAUCAAAAGAUCCACAGGUACUGGUUUGGACGACCACUCGUACGAAAACAAACACAUGAAAUAGAGAAUGCGGAAAAAUCCCCUUACGAACAAUUCACACAUCCACUACUUCGGGCUGGGAAAAAUUUUU
Diabrotica virgifera virgifera (western corn rootworm) is the source of this 668-nucleotide long non-coding RNA. RefSeq lists it as uncharacterized. NCBI's taxonomy places the organism in Eukaryota, Metazoa, Arthropoda, Insecta, Coleoptera, Chrysomelidae. The record is from RefSeq and is a predicted model, not a curated record. The transcript is spliced from 4 exons.